RNAcentral lists this unclassified non-coding RNA (345 nucleotides) under soil metagenome. RNAcentral's name for it is "partial contains 5.8S ribosomal RNA, internal transcribed spacer 2, and large subunit ribosomal RNA". The stretch from base 1 to 121 matches the Rfam family "5.8S ribosomal RNA", at positions 35 to 154 of the family's 154-position model. The record is from RNAcentral.
GAUGAAGAACGUAGCGAAAUGCGAUAAGUAAUGCGAAUUGCAGAAUUUCCGUGAGUCAUCGAAUCUUUGAACGCACAUUGCGCCCACUGGUAUUCCGGUGGGCAUGCCUGUUCGAGCGUCAUUAUCCUCCCUCAAACCUCGGGUUUGGUGUUGGACCCAAGUUGUGUGAACAACUGGUCUUAAAGACAAUGGCGGCGUCCGUGGGACCCUCGGUGCAACGAGCUUUUAGGAGCACGCGUCGAGUUUCAAGGACCUUCCGGGCCGGUCUCCUUUACCAUUUUACAAGGUUGACCUCGGAUCAGGUAGGAAUACCCGCUGAACUUAAGCAUAUCAAUAAGCGGAGGA